Molecule: ribosomal RNA, 250 nt
Filed under: uncultured bacterium
Lineage: Bacteria
Description: partial 16S ribosomal RNA
Rfam family: Bacterial small subunit ribosomal RNA
Source: RNAcentral
UACGAAGGUGGCAAGCGUUACUCGGAAUUACUAGGCGUAAAGGGCAGGUAGGUGGCCUGAUAAGUCUGUUGUGAAAGCUCCCGGCUUAACUGGGAGAGGUCAACAGAUACUAUCGGGCUGGAGUGUGGGAGAGGGUACUGGAAUUCCCGGUGUAGCGGUGAAAUGCGCAGAGAUCGGGAGGAACACCAAUGGCGAAAGCAGGUACCUGGACCAUUACUGACACUCAGCUGCGAAAGCUAGGGGAGCAAAC